RNAcentral lists this ribosomal RNA (253 nucleotides) under uncultured bacterium. Its description in RNAcentral is "partial 16S ribosomal RNA". It matches the Rfam family "Bacterial small subunit ribosomal RNA", at positions 524 to 776 of the family's 1533-position model. The record is from RNAcentral.
UACGUAGGGUGCAAGCGUUAAUCGGAAUUACUGGGCGUAAAGCGUGCGCAGGCGGUUGUGCAAGACAGAUGUGAAAUCCCCGGGCUUAACCUGGGAACUGCAUUUGUGACUGCACGGCUAGAGUGCGGCAGAGGGGGAUGGAAUUCCGCGUGUAGCAGUGAAAUGCGUAGAUAUGCGGAGGAACACCGAUGGCGAAGGCAAUCCCCUGGACCUGUACUGACGCUCAUGCACGAAAGCGUGGGGAGCAAACAGG